CGGUGUAUGAGUGAAUAACUUCCUUUUUAACCAUUUGAACAGAACUCGGAAAACUCGAAAUUCGAUUCGACUUCCAGUUUCAAAUUCGGUUUUUGAGUCUUCGAAUCGAAUUAGCAAUUAAUUGGAGUUAACUGUGAGUGAGAGUGGAUGAGAAAAUCUCUUCAUAAGGUUGAGCACCCCAGGUGUUUGAUAAAAUGCCCCAAAGAAUAUAUAUUUUGCAUUGCUCCACAAAACCCUUGUUUUCUUUCACAGUGGGCCCUCAUUAGCUACUUACUUGUAUUUGGUAUUGACUUUUAACUUCACAAUAACCCAAUCAUUCAUUGUUGAGAUAUAAAGAACAAGACAAAGGGGAUGUUAACAAUCCACCAAUAUUGACCACUGACCAGAUCCCAAAGCUAUCAUUUCUAUGUGGGUGGGUGUCAGUGUCACACACACACACUAUGUGUUUACACAUUGACAAGACCCUAUUCCAUCCAACAAAGUCAAUCACUUUGUGAACCAUCAUUCAUGGGUAUGUCAGUGACUUUGUCUCACCUUUCAGUUUCAACAAUGAAUAAUAACUUUCUGUUGGUGCAUGGGUUUUCUGCUUUCACACACCUUGGUUUCUUACUUCUUGUAUUCAUCAGUUGUCUAUGCAAAACAAUCACUUUCAAAGGUCCUAAACAGAUGCCCAACAGUGGGGUCUUGUUUUACAGACAGACCCUGUUAUCUUGUAUGGUCCUUGUGGUUCUUAACCUUGUUAUGUGUUCCUUGAACCUUCUUUUUUGGUAUAGAAAUAGUUGGACUAAAGUCAACACUGUUGGCUUUUCGGAUACCCUUCUUCGAACUCUUGUUUGGUUAUUCAUUUCGGUUUACUUGCACAAUCAUGUCUCUAAAUCCACACAAUCUAAGUAUCCGUUUGCGUUAAGGAUUUGGUGGUUUUCUUCUUUCUUAAUCUUUAGUUUUUGUCUAGUGUCAGAUUAUGUUUUCCACAAACAGAUUCAUAGUUUAGCAGCCCAUUUCUUGGUGUUAGAUGCUUCGUCUAGUUUCGUCGGUUUAUUCCUGUGUUAUGUUGGGUUCUUGGUUAAGAAUGAAGGUGGAACCGUAAGCCAUUUUCAUCAUGAACCGUUGUUAGAUAGCAGCUCUAGUGAAACUAUAAACCCUUGGUCAACCAGCAAUAUCUUCAGUCUUCUUACGUUCUCUUGGAUUCAUCCGUUGAUUUCUCUAGGAUAUAAGAAACGAUUAGAUCUUGAGGACGUCCCUCAACUCGACAGUUUAAAUAGUGCUAAAAGAUCCUUUUCGGUUUUACAAAAUAAACUACAAUUGGAUAAGAGUAUAAGUAUCCAAAUGAAUACUUUAAGUCUUGUCAAGGCUGUGGUAUUGACAACAUGGAAAGACAUAAUAAUCACUGGUCUCCUUUCUUUUGUGUCCACGUUAGCUUCAUACGUGGGGCCGUUCCUUAUAAACACAUUUGUCGGGUAUCUAAGUGGACAACGAGACUUAAACACAGGCUUACUUCUAGUUUCUGCGUUCAUUGUUGCUAAGAUUGUAGAGUGUUUGGCACAACGACACUGUGAGUUAAAGCUGCAACAGGCUGGAACUAACGUCAGAGCUGCACUUGUUGCAAUGAUAUACCACAAAGGUUUGACCCUUUCGUCUCAGUCAAAACAGGGACACUCGAAUGGCGAGAUUAUUAACUUCAUGGCCGUUGAUGCUGAAAGAGUCGGUGAUUUCAGCAAGUACAUGCACAACACAUGGUUGGUCAUCAUACAAGUCGGUCUGGCACUAGCAAUAUUGUAUAAAAAUCUCGGGAUUUCUUCACUGGCCACCUUUGUUGCAACAAUCAUCGUCAUGUUAUCGAACAUACCAUUAGGGAGUUUUCAGGAAAAGUUUCAAGAGGAGUUGAUGAAAUGUAAAGAUAAAAGGAUGAAACAAACUUCUGAAAUUUUAAAGAAUAUGAGGAUUCUCAAGCUUUAUGGAUGGGAGAUGAAGUUCUUGUCGAGAAUUAACGAUAUCCGGAACGAUGAGGCGCAUUGGCUGUAUAAAUAUACAUUUACGGUGGCAAUGGCUAGUUUUGCGUUCUGGGUUGCACCCACGUGUGUGGCUAUAGCCACAUUUGGUACGUGUAUGCUUGCUGGCAUCCCACUUGACUCCGGGAAGGUGUUGUCUGCACUUGCAACGUUUAAGAAUCUCCAACACUCGGUGUAUAAUCUUCCGGAUACAAUAUCUAUGAUGGUAGAGACCAAAGUUUCGCUUGAUCGUAUUGCAUCAUUCCUCAGUCUAUCUGAAUUAGAUUCUGGUCUGGUAGAAAUAAUCCCAAGAGGUAGUUCUGACACGGUAGUUGAGAUUGUUGAUGGAAAUUUUUCAUGGGAUGCGGCAUCUUGUAAUCCAACGCUGAGUGAUAUAAGUUUCAGAGUUUUUCAUCGCAUGAAGGUUGCUGUAUGCGGCCCGGUUGGCUCGGGAAAGUCAAGCUUACUGUCGUGUAUACUAGGUGAACUGCCUAAAUUAUCUGGAAAAGUCAAACUCAGUGGCUCAAAGGCGUAUGUUGGUCAAUCUCCAUGGAUACAGAGUGGAAUGAUAGAACAGAAUAUCCUGUUUGGUAAGGAGAUGGACAGAGAACGUUACGAGAAGGUUCUAGAAGCGUGUGAUUUCAAGCAAGACCUUAAAGUUCUAUCUUUCGGUGAUCAAACGGUUAUAGGGGAGAGGGGAAUCAAUUUGAGUGGAGGUCAGAAACAGAGAAUACAGAUAGCGCGUGCUCUGUAUCAAGAUGCUGAUAUAUAUCUAUUUGAUGAUCCGUUCAGCGCUGUUGAUGCCAUUACAGGAAACCAUCUUUUCAAGGAAUGUAUGAUGGAUUUCUUGGAAUCAAAAACAGUGAUUUACGUCACGCAUCAGGUGGAGUUUUUACCCGCUGCAGAUCUGAUCUUGGUCUUGAAGGAUGGAAGAAUUACACAAGCUGGAAAAUACGACGAUAUGAUGAAGCUAGGAAGCGACUUUUUAGAACUUGUAGGCGCACACAAAGAAGCUUUAUUAGAAAUUGAUUCUGUAGGGCAUAAUUUAGAAACUGUAAAAAAGAAUAUCGAAGACGAGACUAUAACGGGUCAAAACGGUAAUUUAGCUCACGUGGAGGAGAAGAAAAGGCAGCUUGUGGAAGAAGAAGAAAGAGAAAGAGGUGAAGUCGGCUCAUCGGCGUAUUGGAAAUACCUUACAACUGCUUAUGGAGGGGCGCUUACUCCUUUGGUAUUAUUAUCACUAAUUAUGUUUGAGUUAUCUCAAAUCUCCAGCAAUUACUGGUUGGCUUGGGCAUCGCCUACAUCCGAAAGUAACGAAGCGCAUGUUGAUGGCUUUGAGUUCAUUGUCGUUUAUGUGGCUUUUGGAACUGGAUGUGCCUUUUGUAUUCUAGCACGAUCUAUGUUACUCAUGAAAGUUGGCUAUGAAACAGCCAACCGGCUUUUCGACAAAAUGCAUUUUUGUAUUUUCCGUGCACCCAUGUCGUUCUUUGAUGCUAACCCAUCUAGUCGAAUUCUAAACAGAGUAUCUACAGACCAAACUGCAGUUGACUUGACAGUACCGUCUACUAUCGGUUCAUUUGCGUAUGUGGUCAUACAGCUUUUUGGCAUUAUUUUCGUUAUGUCACUAGGUGCUUGGCCCGUGUUCCUUGUUUUCUUUCCCAUGAUUGGAAUUUGCAUCAGAUUACAGCACGAGAACUGGCUCGAUUGGUUGGAGUAUGCAAAGCACCGGUCAUUCAGCAUUUUUCUGAAACAAUAUCGGGAUCAACGACUGUUAGAGGCUUUGAUCAGAAACACAGAUUCCAAGACACAUGCUUGAAACUGAUUGACGAUUAUUCCAGACCGAAGUUUCAUGUUGCCGGUGCAUUGGCUUGGUUCGGAUUACGCUUGGAUAUGCUGUCUUCUUUUAUUUUUUCCUUCCUUCUGAUCUUUCUAGUUACUGUUCCCGAAGGAAUAAUUGACCCAAGUACCGCAGGCUUAGCAGUAACGUAUGGACUAAAUUUGAACAUGUUACAAUUUUGGGCUAUACUAAAACUUUGCAAAUUGGAAAUACAAUUUAUUUCGGUUGAAAGAAUUUUUCAAUACAGUUCUAUCGCAAGUGAGCCUCCUCUUGUUAUAGACUCGAAUAGACCUGAUCGCUUCUGGCCUUCACAAGGAAAAGUCGAUAUUCACCAUCUGCAGGUUCGAUACGCCCCACACAUGCCACUUGUGUUGAGAGGCAUUACAUGCACUUUCCAUGGAGGUAAAAAGACGGGAAUUGUGGGGAGGACCGGAAGUGGUAAAUCUACUCUUAUACAAACACUCUUCCGUAUCGUCGAACCUACCAGUGGGGAAAUUUUUAUAGACGGGAUCAACAUUUCAUCGAUUGGACUCCAUGAUUUAAGAUCUAGAUUAAGCAUAAUUCCCCAAGAUCCCACUAUGUUCAACGGAACUAUUAGAAGCAACAUGGACCCACUUGAGGACUAUACCGAUGAUCAGAUUUGGGAGGCUCUUGAUAAAUGCCAGAUUGGAGAUGAGGUUAGAAGUAAGGAAGGCCAGCUUAAUGCUACAGUUACUGAAAACGGAGAGAACUGGAGCAUGGGUCAACGGCAACUGAUCUGUCUUGGGCGUGUGCUACUGAAGAAAAGCAAGAUUCUGGUUCUUGAUGAGGCCACUGCUUCAGUUGAUACAGCGACAGAUAACAUGAUUCAGAAAACACUUAGGGAACACUUUUCAGACUCGACUGUCAUAGCAAUAGCACAUCGAAUCACCUCUGUCGUCAAAAGUGACAUGGUUUUAGUUUUAAACAAUGGUCUUAUUGAAGAAUAUGAUUCUCCUACAGCAUUGCUUGAAGAUAAAUCUUCUUCUUUUUCCCAGUUGGUUGCAGAGUAUGGCAUGAGGUCGAAUUCUAGUUAUAUAACUAACCACUGUUGACAACCCUAUUGAUGCCAAAUUGUAAUCAUUGUGGCAAGUAUAUAAAAGUAACAUGUACAAUUUGAUUUGAGAAAUAUUCAUUGAAAGAUAAAUAUUUUGAACAGAGUUCCUUGAUCUGUGACAGUUAUUGUUAUAUCAUUGAAAUGACAAAUAUUUUAAUUA
This is an RNA transcript of Helianthus annuus (common sunflower), 5060 nucleotides long. It is a transcript of the gene named ABC transporter C family member 3, with no coding region annotated. Lineage: Eukaryota; Viridiplantae; Streptophyta; Magnoliopsida; Asterales; Asteraceae. The transcript has 9 exons. The record is from RefSeq and is a predicted model, not a curated record.